Molecule: long non-coding RNA, 1362 nt
Filed under: Cyanistes caeruleus (blue tit)
Lineage: Eukaryota; Metazoa; Chordata; Aves; Passeriformes; Paridae
Description: lncRNA (ENSCCEG00000001258.1)
Source: RNAcentral
CUUCUUUAGGAUGAGUCACACACUUUUCCUCUUUUUUAAUUCUGCAGAGACUUGGCACCUCUGUGUGAUGAAAUCCAUAUACUGGCUGUGGUUACAGGGCUGAGCAAAACACAGAGCAGAUGAAGAGAUACAGAGAUGUAGAUCAUGGGGCCUUAUUGCUCUGGAAGGCUCCAUUAAGAAAACAAGAGGCCAUACCCUAUGGAGCUGCUGCUUCCAUAAGGAACUUCAAAAAGGAAAAAAGCUCAACAAAAUGGAAGCAAUCUUACUCUGCAGAUGGAAUAGCCACUGACAAAACUGUCUUUGUACCUGGUGGAAAUCAACCAGUCAAUUUUUACCACUGUUUUUACCACAGUCUUUGCUAAAUGAUUUUCCCAUUAAUUAAUUGAUAGCUGUAGAUAUACGUGGGUUUAAUUUCACAGUUUGGUUUGCUUUGUUUUGUGUAGGGAGCCUCUGGUAUUUUUAAGGACUACAGUAGCUGGCAGCAUCUUGUGAAAGCCAGUUGCUGAAGGACAGCGCUGCUCCAGUGGUGCUGCGUGUGCCGGGGCAGACAGACGGUUUCCAGAUUGAGACUGCACGCAGCAGUGCAAAGCAAGCCCUGCUCUCAUGCCUGGAGAGCUCCUUGGAAAGCACAGGGAAGACGUGGCGCACUGAGACCACGGGAAGAGCAGCCACCUUGUCCCAGUGAGAUGUGGAGCACUGUGGGGACUCAUCUCCUUGCAAGAGGAGGGGUGGCAGCUGCCCUUUUGAGACAGCAACAGCACCAGAACGAGCUGCUCUCCUAACCAGCUGAGGUCCUUCCUGUGGCACUGAGGACAGCCAGCCUGGUGGCCUUGGUGGUCUGCUGGGGUGGAGCAGGCAGUGGGUCUGCAGUUCUUUGUGUGACCUUAGAAAUAUCUGGCUGGGUAGGUAUUAGAAAUAUCAGCCUUAGAAAUAGGCUGGGUGAGCCUUACCGAGGGUUGUGAGGGACGUCAGCAUGAAGGGUGCAGCUGAGCUGAAACCACAGAGGAUCCACUUCAGUGUCUUCCUUUCAUGGCUCUGUUCACAUGUGAAAUGAGUGAUGUGGAGGUUUGAGAAAGAACAGACCAUAGAUAAAAGCAACAAUCAAUCUUACAGGGUCUUUAAAGGAAGGCAAGAAUACGUACCCCAUGCAGAGGAAAAUUACCUAUGUAAGAUACUUUCCAAGAACAAAUGAGGGAUGAUUUCUUCCAUCACUGACAUCAGUUACACAUAUGUGGAUAAACAUCACAGUGAGCAGCAGCCCUCCUGUAAUGCACAAGGCCACUGGAAAAAGUAAACUUGUGGGUGACACUUCCAAGCAUUCAGUUAGGGUUUGUUCUCCAAACAUACCUAAAUGAAGCAUCU